This 408-nucleotide ribosomal RNA is filed under the name uncultured bacterium. RNAcentral's name for it is "partial 16S ribosomal RNA". It matches the Rfam family "Bacterial small subunit ribosomal RNA", at positions 29 to 526 of the family's 1533-position model. The record is from RNAcentral.
AGUGAACGCUGGCGGCGUGCCUAAUACAUGCAAGUCGAACGGAGUGUCGCACGGGUGAGUAAUAUAUAUCUAACUUCCCCAUUACUAAGGGACAACAGUUUGAAACGACUGCUAAUACCUCACAGUAAUGGAUAGGGCUAUAUCGUAUCAGCUAGUUGGUAAGGUAACGGCUUACCAAGGCUAUGACGGGUAACUGGUCUGAGAGGAUGAUCAGUCACACUGGAAGUGAGACACGGUACGGAAUCCUACGGGAGGCAGCGGUAGGGAAUAUUGCUCAAUGGGGGAAACCAUGAAGCAGCUACGCCGCGUGGAGGAUGACACUUUUCGGAGCGUAAACUCCUUUUCUUGGGAAAGCGGUACCCAAGGAAUAAGCACCGGCUAACUCCGUGCCAGCAGCCGCGGUAAUAC